RNAcentral lists this ribosomal RNA (117 nucleotides) under Ignavibacteria bacterium. Lineage: Bacteria; Pseudomonadati; Ignavibacteriota; Ignavibacteria. The record is from RNAcentral.
CUUGGUGACCAUAGCCAGAGUGGUACACCUCUUCCCAUUUCGAACAGAGAAGUUAAGACUCUGAACGCCGAUGGUACUGCAUGGGCAACUGUGCGGGAGAGUAGGUAGUCGCCAAGU